AAAGACUGGGAUUGGAUGAGGACAAAGGAAGAGCAUGCUUAAUUUGAAACAGCAAGGCGUGUGAAUAACCCUCUCCUGGCUUAUCUUCAUGGAACUCAGUGAAGCUUUUCACAGAAUUCAAAUUAUUUGCAAGACUUUAGGUUUUCUGACUUUUUUGUGUUCUUUUUCAGUAAAAAUUGUAUGUUGAGGUGACAAUACAGGAUCAUCCCUAAAUGUUAGGUCCCAGCUUUGCAUAUGACCCACACAAGAUAAAGUAGAUUAAGGGWAGGAGCAUUAUGUGUUGUACUAUGUGAGAUAUUAGAAAUUUGAAGGCUGUGAAUGRACAGGAUGACUACUUAGAAACUUUUUGUCUCUGUAAGAAGAAAGUUAAAAUGUUUUCAUUAUUUCCUUCAUGGUGUGAUAUCUGAAUA
Molecule: long non-coding RNA, 410 nt
Organism: Nothoprocta perdicaria
Lineage: Eukaryota; Metazoa; Chordata; Aves; Tinamiformes; Tinamidae
Exons: 2
Source: RefSeq, a predicted model, not a curated record